CUGUUCGAGCGUCAUUAUAACCACUCAAGCCUCGGCUUGGUCUUGGGGUUCGCGGUCUCGCGGCUCUUAAAAUCAGUGGCGGUGCGUCUGGCUCUAAGCGUAGUAAAUCUCUCGCUAUAGGGUCCCGACGGUUCCCUGCCCAGAACCCCCUAAUUUUUACGGUUGACCUCGGAUCAGGUAGGGAUACCCGCUGAACUUAA
RNAcentral lists this unclassified non-coding RNA (200 nucleotides) under soil metagenome. Its description in RNAcentral is "partial contains internal transcribed spacer 2 and large subunit ribosomal RNA". The record is from RNAcentral.